UACGUAGGAGGCAAGCGUUUGUCCGGAAUUACUGGGCGUAAAGCGCGUGUAGGUGGUGGGACAAGUCUGCUGUGAAAGCGCCUGGCUUAACCGGGCGAGGUCGGCGGAAACUGUCCGACUCGAGGACGGUAGAGGGGGGUGGAAUUCCCGGUGUAGUGGUGAAAUGCGUAGAGAUCGGGAGGAACACCUGUGGCGAAGGCGGCCCCCUGGGCCGGCCCUGACACUGAGACGCGAAGGCGUGGGGAGCGAACGGGG
This 255-nucleotide ribosomal RNA is filed under the name uncultured bacterium. RNAcentral describes it as "partial 16S ribosomal RNA". It matches the Rfam family "Bacterial small subunit ribosomal RNA", at positions 524 to 777 of the family's 1533-position model. The record is from RNAcentral.